GCCCACUGUAUUAACACUUCUUUAGUGGGUCGUCGUCGUCGAGUCACGAUCCGUCGAUCAAUAAUGGCACUUGGCUGGGUUUGGAGUUCUCUUUGGGUAGUCAUAUUUGGUGGGUGGCUUUGGGCUGUCUCCAAGCACCUAUUUAAAACUUCCGUCUGGUUGUUGGUUUGUGGGUGAUAUGUCGUACUCCUUUUCAAUUUUGUACCCUGCAUAUGGAAUAACUUUGUC
This 228-nucleotide long non-coding RNA is filed under the name Musa acuminata (dwarf banana). Its description in RNAcentral is "long non-coding RNA (MACU_LNC010645)". Lineage: Eukaryota; Viridiplantae; Streptophyta; Magnoliopsida; Zingiberales; Musaceae. The record is from RNAcentral.